UACAGAGACUGCAAGCGUUAUUCGGAUUUACUGGGCGUAAAGGGCGCGUAGGCGGCCACGACAAGUCACUUGUGAAAUCUCCGGGCUUAACCCGGAACGGUCAAGUGAUACUGUCGGGCUAGAGUGCAGAAGGGGCAACUGGAAUUCUCGGUGUAGCGGUGAAAUGCGUAGAUAUCAUGAGGAAGACCAGUGGCGAAGGCGGGUCUCUGGACAGUUCCUGACACUGAGGCACGAAGGCCAGGGGAGCAAACGGG
Molecule: ribosomal RNA, 254 nt
Filed under: uncultured prokaryote
Description: partial 16S ribosomal RNA
Rfam family: Bacterial small subunit ribosomal RNA
Source: RNAcentral